This 77-nucleotide transfer RNA is filed under the name Vibrio europaeus. RNAcentral describes it as "tRNA-Val". Lineage: Bacteria; Pseudomonadati; Pseudomonadota; Gammaproteobacteria; Vibrionales; Vibrionaceae. The record is from RNAcentral.
GGGUCCGUAGCUCAGUUGGUUAGAGUACUACCUUGACAUGGUAGGGGUCGGCGAUUCGAGUUCGCCCGGCCCCACCA